GGUGUCGCCGACUCCUCCGCCACGUCAUCCAUAGUCCGUGAAGAUUGGCACGGUAUCGCAACUUCUUUCCGGAGGUAUUGCCGGAGCUUUUAGCAAAACAUGUACGGCUUCUCUCGCACGUCUCAAUAUUCUGUUUCAGUUGGCUUUGGAGGUGGUCUUGAACUCCAGUAAGAGCACGACGCAUAAAGCUAGACUUAUGCGAACGAGUACGGAAACAACAAAGAAGCCUGCAAUCUUCCAAGAACAAUAUGUUGCACCAAAAGGUAAGGAUGAGCUAAAGUAAAUGGGCAUGUUUAACUUUUUAUUGAUUGGGAGCUACAAAGGGACAUGCUUUUAUACGUAGACAUGCAUUUUGUACACACAUCUAUGGCUGGUACAAGACCGACUAUUA
This 391-nucleotide long non-coding RNA is filed under the name Helianthus annuus (common sunflower). Its description in RNAcentral is "hypothetical non coding rna". Lineage: Eukaryota; Viridiplantae; Streptophyta; Magnoliopsida; Asterales; Asteraceae. The record is from RNAcentral.